Molecule: long non-coding RNA, 1228 nt
Organism: Topomyia yanbarensis
Lineage: Eukaryota; Metazoa; Arthropoda; Insecta; Diptera; Culicidae
Exons: 4
Source: RefSeq, a predicted model, not a curated record
AUGACAACCGCACUCACACACAGAAAAAAUGUGCACACCUGUAUCCGUCUUGUUUUUUUUUCUGCGCUUCAUCGUUACAGGCGGCACAGCAAGCAGAGGAAUCGUUAAGCUCGAGGAAACGGCACAUUUGUUGAGGUAGGUCCAGCGGCUACGACAUAGUUAAACGAUUGAGUAUAGAAAUCAGCGAUUUGGCAAGAUAGACCGUGAACGGUCUUAGCCGUCUGUCAAUUCAGACACGCCAAGCAAAAAAAAAAAUUCGAUUCUAAAUUAAACUCGUAAUCAUCUAAACGCUCAUAAACAAAACCACGAGAACCCGACAAAUCUGAAGUGUACUUGGCGUUAGAAGAAAAAAUGGCAGAGACAACUAGCGAAGACAUGGAGCAGCAAAACUUGAAUUUGAACAGAGAGAGUAAACCGGAAAAUUCGGGUGAAUUUGACGGUUCUUUAAAGGAAAAGAUGGACGAAAUAUUACGUGAAUCGCUUCAAAAAAAAUCCGAAAAUUCGUUCCAAAAGGGCGAUCUAACAAAACCUUUCCAAUGUAGCGUGUGUAACAAAGGACUUAAUCGGUACCUUAAUCUCGUAGCCCACGUGUCGAUUCACACAGAUCACGCUCCCUUCAUCUGCCAAGCGUGCGGAUUUGAAUUCCGUAAGCGGCUCCUUCUCACGCGACACGUUAAGAGAUGCCGAGGAAAAAAAAACUAACAAUUACACACGAGAACAUGGCAAUACAAACUAAUAAUGUACAAUAUUUAUUGUAUACUUCAUAAACUUUAGUGUUCUUCAUGAGGUAGCUUCUCAAACUCAGUACAGUUAGGUUCCGGAUUCUGUAUUACAGUGAUUCUCAACCUGGGGUCCGCGGACCCUUAGGGGGUCGCGAAGUCAUUGCUGGGGGUUUGCGAGGAAAAAUAUAUUUUCCGAGUGCAGAUAGAAGUUUCAAGUCUUGUUUCCUAACAAACUGAAAAUAACAUUAUAUACAAAAUCGAUGUUUAUCCGUGGGUGUCCGCAGCAACCCAGGGCAAUUUCUAAGGGGUCCGUGGUACGAAAAGGAUUGAGAACCGCUGAAGUCACUGUAUUAGAUUCACCAAAAGAAGAGUUCGCUACCAUGGAUAUGUACUAACAUCAAAUAUUUCAUUUUAUAUUAUCUGAUUAUUUGGAUUCUUGCUACUACAUCAUUAAAAACGAAUUGGAAUUUUGAUUGAAAUAAACUUGAAUUAUUUUCAUUUGGAAA